RNAcentral lists this long non-coding RNA (222 nucleotides) under Schizosaccharomyces pombe (fission yeast). The record is from RNAcentral. Lineage: Eukaryota; Fungi; Ascomycota; Schizosaccharomycetes; Schizosaccharomycetales; Schizosaccharomycetaceae.
UUUAAUGAAGGAAAAACUAUGAAACAAACAAAGCAUAAAGUGCAGGGCGAGAAAAACAAUCGUGAAAUAAAACAGCUUAUUUGUGUUUGGUGAUUCGACAAGCGCUUUAAACAGGUGUGAGAAACUAAAUAAUAAUAAAUGGUAAUUAUAAGAAAUAAAAAAACGAAGAAGUGAUACUUCAAAAAGGUAAGCAUAGCUGGAGAAUUAAUGAUCAGAGAGAAC